AAUGCACCAAUUUGUAAGUCGCUCUGGAUAAGAGCGUCUGCCAAAUGACGUAAA
This is a non-coding RNA of Salmo salar (Atlantic salmon), 54 nucleotides long. NCBI's taxonomy places the organism in Eukaryota, Metazoa, Chordata, Actinopteri, Salmoniformes, Salmonidae. The record is from Rfam.